ACCGGCUAGGAAAGACGCAACAAGC
Molecule: unclassified non-coding RNA, 25 nt
Filed under: Mus musculus (house mouse)
Lineage: Eukaryota; Metazoa; Chordata; Mammalia; Rodentia; Muridae
Description: oocyte_clustered_small_RNA3580
Source: RNAcentral